Molecule: long non-coding RNA, 2119 nt
Organism: Daucus carota subsp. sativus
Lineage: Eukaryota; Viridiplantae; Streptophyta; Magnoliopsida; Apiales; Apiaceae
Exons: 4
Source: RefSeq, a predicted model, not a curated record
AUUUGUCAUCGAUAAUCAACUCCUCGAAUUUCGCCUCUUCUAUCUGAACCCCAAACAACUCGUCCUCUACCUCUUCAUUCAGCUCCAACUCAUCAUCAAAAUUAACCCCAUGCAGCUCAAAUUUACUGUAGUCAAAAUUAGCCUCUUCUUUUACGAUUACAAUAGACAGUCGAAUUGGCGGGAAACCUCGAGAUUCGAGCCGUUGGUUAGGGUUUGGAUGAUAUUCUUGCAUGGGGUCGAGAGUGAUCUUUGGGCAUAAAUUUGUUGUUGGGAUGGUAGGGAGUCGAUCCCGCGAGACCGAGUUUUGAUACCAAGUUAAGUGACCAGUGGCGCCUCGGUUUCUACGGAAUCCUGGUGUUCUUCAUAAAAGUUAUGCAUCAAAGACAAUUUUCAAUGGGCACCUCAGUACUACACCACUUGCUAUGUACGAAGAAAGAAAUAGCAGGUUCUCUCUGGGACAUUUAUAGUACCAUGGAUCGGCAGAGCAGCAAUCCAGACCUGCAGGAAGUAGUGUAAUGUAAAAGAGAUGGCUGUAUAAAGGUAUACCUGUAGUAAUCCUGAACUUGUGUUAUCAAGCUUUGUAACUUUGGUGGAAUUUCCUAUUAAGAAAUGUGAGCUUCUGUAGUAAAUUGUAAAGUUAGAUCUUUUAUGGGGCAAGGAUCAAAAGAAUGAUGACACUGACAGCCACUGGAUACUUAAUCACUGAAAGGGAUCAAAAGAAAAGCGGAUGUGAUGCAGGCAUGCAACUUCUAUGGCUGAAUGUUUUAAAUAUUCUUUAUCACAGAGAAGCAGAGAUAUCUUGAAAAUCUGGUAAAUCUUCUGUCAGAUACGGUGCAUGUAAAUAAAUUUCAUGGCCCUUCUAUUUUAAAAUAUGAUAUAUAACUUGUUCCUUUGAGUGGUUGUGAUUGUGGAUAGUGAGAAUCUUGAGCUUUAAGUCUCUCUCUCAAAUUAUAUACAACUAAUACAAGUGGCUGUAUAUGUAGACAGUAUGCUUUCCAGAGGUGGUUGUGUUCUGUUUCAGGCUGGAAAGAAGAGGGGGAUUGGUGUAAAGGAAGUUGUCAUCUUGUGCAGUGUUGAGAGCAGGAUCCAAGAGACCAUGUCAGAGAAAAAAGGAGGAAGGGGUUGUUUCUUGGGAAAUGUAAAUCUUCUGAUAUGUCUUUAUAAUGCAUUGCAUCAUCAAUAGAGGUUUGUUUUCUUACCACUCUUUUGAUGCAUAAUCAACUGUAGAACCUUAACUAAGUUUUCGAAAUUUUCGAAAUUAUCUCUUAAAACAGGAGACAACCUCAGAAACUGUUGUGGCCUAUGCUGGAAAAAUAUCACAAUUCAUGUGGUCCUUACUCCAGCUAAUCUCCUUCUUUUCACAGCCAACAAGUCAUAUACAUCUAAUGUUUUUUCUUUCAAAGAGGUAAUCUUGAACUCCUAGUAGGGACUAUGAACUCACCUUCACACCACACUUUUGUCCAAUGGUCAUUUCCUCUUCUUCAAUAUGUUUCAACUUGAUUGUUUUGUCAAUUUCCUUGCCAGUCAAGCUGGCUACAACCUAAUUUAUCAAGUACAUUUCCUCUAUUGUGCCAAUUUCUUUACAAGGCAUUUAUACUUCGAGGACAAAACCCAAUUUGGUGGGCUGUUCACUAAUAACCACCUACGUAGAUUUUAAUUCAGAUUACCUAUAGUAUCAACACCUAUAAGCCUAGGUACAGUAGGUCAGUAGGGGAGUAGUUGAAGUACAAAAUUUAAGUAAAUGACUUGUUUCAGACUUGCAUUCAAUCUAAACUUCAACUAGAUCUCAUGAUAAUGAUCCAUGAUUAUGAGUUAAGUCAUCGAUAAUCGCCAACUCAAUGAUAAGCCUUUCGAGUACGUGUGAACUGAGUUCUUGUGCAUGAAAUGAGCCCCAGACCAGCUGUAUUGUACUGUUUCACUGAGGAAAAUGACAGUAUAGUAUUUCCUUUGCAUGCCUUUGUCAUGUUUUGGAGCAUAGUUGGCUGUUGAUUUGUGUAUGUCUGGUUUUUAUUGGUGGGGUUAAAUGAGUUCUUACAUUUUUGUAUUGUGAUUUCACCUUUUAUAUGCAUCAGUGUACUAGGUUUUUCAUUUGUUUAUUGUAUUUAUUUUCUUUUAUGUU